UGCCUUUUAUUUUCCAAGGAUGUAUGCAUUCGGUCACAUAUAACAAAUAUUUCACAAAAUGACAGCGGAAGUCUCUACAACUAGUCUGUGCAAGACAUUAAUUCCUAGGGGGCGUCAUUAGCAUUCAGUGGAGAUCCAAAGUUAUCGUUCGUCAAUCAUUUCCUAAACGUUUCUAUUCAAUAACCCUGUUUAGCAAUUAUUCACAGACUGUGAAGUAUGAACAAUUUUAUAGAACAGAGACAGUCAUAAACCUGUCAGACGUAGACACACUCCUAUUUGGCAGGAAGCUGCAUGGACUCAAGGGAAGACAAUUUAUCCACGUGUUUUAUAGAACUGUUUGUGGCUAAUUAGAAAAAUCGCCAUUUUUAAAUUCUAAUGUGACUAAAGUGGCCAAUCCUGCAGCUUUCCUACCUUCUAUUAGAUCAACGUACACAAUUUCUUGCUCUCUCUUUCAAAAAUAAAUAAAUAAUAGACCAUAAAUCUAUCAUUUUGAUGCUAUUAUUAUUAUUAUUAUUAUUAUUAUUUAAUAUUUAGAUUGCGUCUAAAAGAAAGCGGAGGUGACGCAAGGCACAUUUUUAAAAAGUUAUUCGGGAAAAAAACAAGAAAAUGUGCUUAAAAAUACAGGAAAUCCUAUUUUUGUGCUAUUCCUAUUUGUUCCCUUACGGAAAUACUGAAAAUAAAAUACGAAUGUUGAAUAGAAAGAUUGCAUUUUUUGGUGAAUUGAGGCGUUUAGAUCAAUACUCUAUAAAAACCGUGUCUUAGGAAACACCUAAGCGGUAAGAGGAACCGAUGUACGAGCUUUCAUGCCAAUACGUUUGAUAGUUGAAGAGAUCUGUUGAUACA
Biomphalaria glabrata is the source of this 843-nucleotide long non-coding RNA. RefSeq lists it as uncharacterized. NCBI's taxonomy places the organism in Eukaryota, Metazoa, Mollusca, Gastropoda, Planorbidae. The record is from RefSeq and is a predicted model, not a curated record. The transcript is spliced from 3 exons.